GGAAAUUAAGGAUUUCUAGUAGUAGAUUUCUUUAAUUCUUGGGAGACACAGCAUUUGCAGCCUUCUGCUCCCAGCAUCUGUGAAACAGACCAAGGAACAGAGCAGAACAAGUGUUGGCCAUAUCUCUGAGAUUAAAGACCAUUGUAUGGGAGUUGCUAAGCCACGGCCUGAAGCGGUGAUUGAGCACCUGGUGAAGGGAUGCAGCCAGCCCUGGGAGCACAGGUGGAAGCAAUUCAACCUCGUGACUGGAAGGGGUGGACCCUGUCUCCAUCCCCUCCUAACCUCAUUUAAGAGCUGGCAGCCACAAGGAAAGGAUGCUUCUGUGGAAAUCCCUCCUUUUGGAGUGUUUAGUGAGCCCUGAUCAUUGGAUGGGUGACCACAAGUCUUCUGCAAGUGCUGAAAAGCAGUUUGCUGCCCCUGCAUCACCAGCUGUGCAGACACGUUUAGUACCUGUGCUCGACGGACGGUGAGCAGCCACCUUGUGCUGAGUGGUACCUGGGGGGGAGACUGAGCAUGCAGCCUCUGCUAGGUGCCAUGCAUGCCUUAUUCUGAUGUAUACAAAGGCUGAUAGGAUCCGGCCCAAAGAUGUAGGUGGGAGAAUCAUUACAAGAAGAUAUGCUGGGCUCUGCUUUAGAAGCUGGGAUGUAUGCUGGAGUUCUUCCUUCUGACCUGGAGCUGCCUUGCAAGCUACCAUUGCUCUGACUUCCUCAAUGGAACCUCAUGGGUGGUGAAGUGAGUUGAGAAAAUCCAAACCAAAACUGCUUAAAGGUAAAAAGUCAUCUGGGAACAUUGGUCAGCUGUUGAUAGUAAUUAAAUUCCAGGCUUUUUUAAUCUGAAAAUUGUAGCAAUGUAACCUUAACUUUUCAUAAGCUACGCUCUACAUGCACAUUCAUAAGCCAGUUCCCUUAAGCUCAGCUGAGAUCUCUGUAUUUUACAAGUUAUUAUGGGCAACAGAUUAAUAUUAAAAUUAAUACUGGAAGUAUUAGAAUUGUUUUUUCCUCUCUCCUGAGCAAUAAGAACACCUCUGUUCUCCUCAUGCACAGAGGAGAACAUGUGUAAAUUCAAUCACUUCAGCUGUGUGACUGAUGUAUUUUAUCUUGGAGCUCUGUGAUCUUCUGUCUUGUCACCAUCUGCACGAAGGUUUCUUUGCAGCUGCCUGGUUUCCUUCAUCCCUGUGGGCUGUGCUGGGGGUGGUUGGAUCCCCUGCCUGGGGUCUGAGGUAUGGGGUGUGGGCAGGUGGCUGUGGGACUGCAGGCAGAGUCCAGGCAUGGGAUGCUCUCAGCAGUUUUCCUGCAAAAGGACAUGAAUCAUGGAAUCAUAGAAUGGCCUGGGAUGAAAAGGACCACAAGGACCAUCUAGUUUCCACCUCCCUGCUAUGUGCAGGGUCACCAACCACCAGACCAGGCUGCCCGGAGCCACAUCCAGCCUGGGAAGAUGGAUGUGAAGAUGGAGAUGUCCUGAAGGAGGCUUCCAAAAGUCUCAGGGAGAAAACACUGGUAUCUGAUGAGGCAGUGCAGGAAUCGUUACCCAGAUGAGGCCGGUUCUUGGCUCAACAUUGUUUGAGAUGCCUCUUCUGCCCUGCCUCGUGUUGGAAGAACUCCUCGUAUCUGUGCCUGCCUCUUCUCCAUGGUGGUUUUAACACCAGGACUGCCACACCGCUCUGGCUGAGGCAACAAGGAAGGCCACAGCCUAACUGUAUUUUAAAUAACCACGUAAUGCUUCAGUAUCUCAACUACUUCUUGUGAAGCAGCUUCUAUCAUAUCUGAAAGAUGAGUUAUAAUUUGGAGAUUGGCCUUGGUGAUCUCCAGAGGUCCCUUUCAACCCUUAUGGUUCUGUGAUUAUCAGUCGUGGGUAAGCAGAACUGGCAGCUGAAUGAGGUACUGGGGCUUAAAUGAUGCACUGAGCUUGGGAAUGGUCUGAGGGCUGGUACACCUCUACAGCAGUGCUUUCUAUUUGUGUUCUUCAAGCACGUUUUUGCUGGAGAACACACAGGGCCACACAGUGAUGGAUGGGGCGUGCUGUCAUUUUGAGUCACCGGCAUUUUGGGAUGGAAUAGGAAAGCUCCUUAAAAGCAGCCAGUGUCACAUUUGCAGCUUCAUUUUCAUGGGCGAAUAUUGCUUUGAGACUAAUGUAAGCUCUAUGUAUUAUUUGGUACUGAAAGUGUGCUAUGGAAUUUCAUUUCAAAGUACUCUCAGGGUCAUUUAUGCACAUAUAAUGGGUGGAUAAGUCAAACAAAGAGCCCUUCUCUGCCACUCUGGGCACCAGGUCAUGCUGAGGCAUCCAUGCUGGGAGCCAGAAUAGAUACCAGCACAAGUUUGCUGCUUCACUAUCCUGCUUUCUGCCCCAAAUACCCAUCUGCUCAGCUCUGCUUCUGCAGAGCAUGGAGGCAGUGGCUGAGGUUUGUGAUACUGAGGAGGAGGGGAAGGUGGCGCAGUCAAUGGUGAGGGCUGAUGUGUUCUGGGGGCAGCUGGUAGGAAGCUGGCAUCAGUGUGCUCUGUGAGCCCACCCUGAGCUGGCAUUUCAUUGAGAGCCUUUUUAGAGGCUGUGUGUUGUUUUGUCUAAUAGAAAACAAGCUUUGCAAAUGAGCUGCUGAGCACUUUAGCAGGGGGUAUUUUUUUUUUGCAUGUUUGCAAUAUUCAGUUCAGGCAUUGACAGCUGUGAACUUCACAAUGAGACUGACACUUGAGAUCUGUGUAAAGGUCAAUUUUUUAAUUGUGCCUUAUAGAUAAAAGAAAUAUCUACAUCGAUAUAGUCUAAUCGCAUUGAUUUCAGCACGGAGUUUUCAAUUAUUAUUCAGAAUUCUCUGUUAUCUCGUUGCAGUCCCACAGCCUUAGCAGGCAGUGCAAUGCUCCGUGAGAUAACCUUUAACUCAUGCUGCUGGGUCAAAAGUGAGUUGUGAUGAGUACUCCCUGCCAUUCCACAGUGAACUGUCUGGGUAAGGAAGGCAUCUGUUGCUGCAGUGCAGAUCAUGAUGCACUGAGGAUGCCUUCAGUUCUGAUACGGUAUAUUGGCUGUUUGCAGGUCUGCUGGUGCACAAAUAAGCCAAGAUCUCUUCCAUGCAGGAAGCUGCACUGCAGGGCAGUGGGAGGAAUGGCUGUGAUUAUCCCAUUACAAAGAGAAGGAUGUCUUAACAUUGGAAUCAUUGCUCGUGUUUUAGAGUGACCUUGUAAAGUAUGGUUCAUCACAGGGGGAUCGAUACUAAAUAAUAAUGCUUCUGCUUAGUUCCAGUAAAUACCUUGGGUUUAUCUAGGAGGUAUCACUCAGCUGUUUCCAACAGCUUCUAUGUGAUCAGCUGAAGCCAAAACACAUCUGCUUCUCAUAGGUGUGCCUGUAGGACUCUGCUGUUAGUGGUGUUCAGGGUAGCCAGAGGUACUCCCUGUUGUCUCAGUAGGAAACCUUUCAGUGUAUGAAGGACAAUGUUUCCAUGAAAAUAUCAAUACAAUGGUGGGCACACCUCCAUUGACAGUUCACAGCCCAGUAUUUCCUCCGCACGGUUGGAGUGUGGUAUAAUGUCAAAGGUCUGCCUGUCCCUUGCUGGACAUGGGAUGGAGGUGCCUGAGGCUGCUAUGGGCUGGGCAGCCCAACAUCAUGUAUGUAUAUAUGGCCAGGCAGGAUGUGGCUCUGGGCAGCCUGGUCUGGUGGUUGGUGACCCUGCACGUAGCAGGGGGUUGGAACUGGACGAUCUUUGAGAUCUUUUUCAACCCAGGCCAUUCUAUGAUUCAUUCUUUGAUUCUGUAUAAACAUUAAUACAUACACGUGUAUAAAAUAUUAUCACUCUGCAGCUGCAUUUGACUAUCAUCACAGAGCUUGUAUGCAUUCUAAUAAAUUCAUCAAAGGAAAAGAUCAGGCAGGUGCCAAGUGCUGCAAAAUGACCUGGACAAAGAAUGCAGAGGGUUUAGGAGUGCUUUGCAUAAAUAGGAGAAUUAUGUGCUUCACGGAGCAAGCAGUGUUCAGGUUUAAAGACACAGAUGUGUGACAGGCAUUCAGACAGUAAAUUCUGCACCUCCAGUGAUUCUGUGAUAGAAAUGUGUGCCUAUACCUCUGUAUAAUCUGCAACAAUCGAUAAAAUCAAGCAGGUUUUUUAUGAAAACAGUUUUAUUGGAAACUUUUUUAACAGUUUAAGACUCUCUCUUGUAAGUAACUGUCCCUGGACUACUGAGGUGGGUGGAGGGCUCCAUCCCCUCCUGGCAGCCCAGGGCUGAGCCCAUAUCCCUUCCAGGACCUGGCUGCAGCACCUGCUCGCUGUUUGGCAGCCUGACAUGCUUUCUGGUUUGUCCCUUUGGAUAGUGAUAUGCUGAUUCAAGCUGUACAGGAGAAACCAACAACUCAACUCUGUAUUGUGAUGAGACUCUCAGUGCUGUAUGGACAGAAUGGGGAAGCAUUCAAGCGCGUUUCCUUUCUCAGCACGUGGGAUACAGGAGGGCAGCAAAGCAUCACCUGUGAUGAACCACUCAUGUAUCCUUCUUGUAUCUGCAGGUCAGCUGCUGUUUAUGUUCGUUAGUAAAUUAUGUGCCAACCUCAUCACGUCACCCUGCAAUCACAGUGCUGUGUUCCAUGUGUCCAACCUCCAUACAUUUGUGUUUAUAUUGAGCUAUUGCAUCCUGCUCAGGGGUGAGGGCACCUCUCUGCUGCUGCACAAAUUGGAGAACUUCUGCUUCACCAAAGCUCAUAAUGCCUUCAAGGCAUCGGUUCCUCUCAUAGCAUUUCCCAAUCAAAGUAUUAAAAUGAGAGUUUUAUAUCCAGCCAAUACUCUUCUCAUAGCUGAUAAAGGCAAAUGAGGAAUCAUUUAUAUGAUUUAGGUUAUGAGAAGAGUAUAGGAAGAGAAUAUAAGCAAAGCAUUUAUUUCCCACCUGUAUAGAAAUGAAGCUGCUGUUUCUAAUAAAUCCUACUUGAAAAGAUGGCACUGUUAUGAAAGAACGGAGAGAGAGACCUGAGGCUUUACCUUCGUGCUGCUCCAGCCCCCAGGAGUUCAAGUGGGUUUUCUCUUUCCCAGCCCUUGAAUCAGCAGGCAGAAACUGUGGGUGCUGGCUGAAAGGGGGAGGAUGCUCUGAAGUGAGAUGUAGCUGCACCACAGCCUGGAGGCAGAAGGAGGGCUGUGUGUGCUCAGGGCUGCUGGGGGGGGAGGGUGGUUCGGAAAGCAAAACGAUCCUAUUCAACAAUAGAGGAGAAAUUAGGAGCUUGAAAAUAGCAGCAAAUUGGAAUGAAAAGAAUGCCAAUUACCAACUUUGAUCCCUCUUUUCUUUAUUUUUGUUUGAAAGAAAUAUUUUGUGAUAGGCACAUCUUGAAGUUUUCCACUUUUCUUUUGUUUUAAGCAGUGGGAGAUUUGGUAAACCUGUCCUUUAUCCUGCAAAUUCCCACCCUGAACCCUUUGUCCUAAAACUUCUGACUAAUUUCUAGGUAUUUUGAAUACUUAAGUUUGAGAAGACGUGGGAACUGACGACUUCUGUCCUCCGAGGAGAUGGCAUGAAUUACUGCAAUUGGAAAAUAAUUAAGAAGCAAUUACAGAAGCAAACAGAAAUCCUGUGCGUACAGCCAGGCCAUUAAAAUAUGUUCUCUAAGAAAUUACCACAACCACGCUGGAAAGAAAAGCGACAUUUAAAUAAAGUUAUGGUUAUAACAAACUAAAAAGGAAGAAAAAAACCAAAGCAAUUCGUCCUGGAAAAACAAGCAUUGGCUGCUCUGUGACUGUGCUGCAAACGGGAGUGUGUGCAAGUGGGACACGAGGGGAGAACAGCUUCAUGCCUCCCUUCUCCAGCAAGCAGCACUGUACCACUGCACCAGUGAAAUAAGUCAUCGAGAGUGACCAAGGGACUCGAAGUGUUCCGUAGGCAGCCAUCAUCUUGCUGCUUGCAGAGUGUGCAGGAGACUGCAUAUGAGCCCAGCAUCAGUCCUGCAGGAGUCAGCAGCCAGGCACAGACUGGCUCCUGGUGCUGCCUGAUGGAGAGUGGCCGCUGGGUGGAAGGAGCUGCUGUUCCCUCCUUUGGACCCAGAGUAACUUUUAAAUCAUUCUGGGAAGAAAGGAAUGGCAUAUUUGGUGUCUCAGAUGUUCCUUGAGCAGUACGACCUGCACAGAAGUGACGUAUAGUGGACACAAAACAGCUCCUCAAUUAGGGAGACGUAGGGGCAGAAUCACAUCUCCCCAGCAGAACUCAAGAAGCCCUUCUUAGCACUACCACUGCGCAACCGAAGGUAUUUGAUCUGAAGUAUGAAGAAUGAUUUAAUCAGACAGAUUAACCUACCUGGUGCAUCUGAAACACUUCCAUUCCAUCGAAGUCCAUCAACAACAUAGGCUUUAAGUGGAGUUUUAAAAAGUUUAUGAGAAGAAUAUGGAAGGAAUAAGGAGAGUGACAAUUCAGCACGUUUUAGCUCACGUGCUUCUGCAGCAGAAGGUACAGCACUGGGAAUGGGGGCACUGCUGUGACUGACCCCACCACAGGACCUGGCCACCCCAGAGCAUAUUUUCAAGGACUAAUUUCAAGUGUAUACGUUAUAAAUCUGCAAACUAUCUCUGUGAGCCGUGCAUGCUUUACAUCCCUUCAAUCCCAUUGCCUAAUAUUAGUGAAAGUGACAAGACAUUAACUGCAUAUUAAUUGAAUUUUUCACGGAUGAUUAAAAUACAGAAACUGUGCAACAGAUUUCUCCUUUGAGG
Gallus gallus (chicken) is the source of this 6649-nucleotide long non-coding RNA. The record is from Ensembl. NCBI's taxonomy places the organism in Eukaryota, Metazoa, Chordata, Aves, Galliformes, Phasianidae.